AUUCAAGAAUCUCUCAUCAUCUCCAAAUCUCCUACUGACCUGAAGUUCCUGCAAUAAAUUGUAAAUGUUAAUAGGACUAUCAAUAUCUAAUACCCUAGUUAUUAUAUCACAACUUGAGAAGUUGCAAGGAGUUAUCAUAUAAUUAUCUUGCUUAGCAACCAAUUGCUUCUUCUUCUUUGACCUGUUCGGAUCAAGGAAAGCAAUGUAUUGAGGA
Molecule: long non-coding RNA, 214 nt
Filed under: Elaeis guineensis (African oil palm)
Lineage: Eukaryota; Viridiplantae; Streptophyta; Magnoliopsida; Arecales; Arecaceae
Description: long non-coding RNA (EGUI_LNC034829)
Source: RNAcentral